CCGAGUUUACAACUCCCAAACCCCUGUGAAUAUACCAUCGUUGCUUCGGCGGAUCACCCCGGGCGCUUCGGCGCCCCGGAUCCAGGUGCCCGCCGGAGGACCCCCAAACUCUUGUUUUAUACAGUAUCUUCUGAGUAACACGAUUAAAUAAAUCA
RNAcentral lists this unclassified non-coding RNA (155 nucleotides) under uncultured Nectriaceae. RNAcentral describes it as "sequence contains ITS1". Lineage: Eukaryota; Fungi; Ascomycota; Sordariomycetes; Hypocreales; Nectriaceae. The record is from RNAcentral.